Molecule: long non-coding RNA, 528 nt
Filed under: Solanum tuberosum (potato)
Lineage: Eukaryota; Viridiplantae; Streptophyta; Magnoliopsida; Solanales; Solanaceae
Description: long non-coding RNA (STUB_LNC002276)
Source: RNAcentral
AUAAAGAAGCUAGUGAAAUCAGGGAAACAUGCAGAGCUAUGGGGAGGAGCACAAAAGGGAGGUUCUAAUUUCAGUAUGAUGAACAAUCAGUUCAUGAACAUGCAAAUGGACAACUUUAAAGGUGGAAAAGACAACAAAGCUCAGAAGGGUGGUGGUGGUGGAAAUAAGGAACCACCAAAGGGGAAUGCUCAACAGUUUCUUCAGAUGAUGCAGAAUCUCAAAGGGUCAAAGGAUAAUUUCAAGAUGGCUAAUGUUCCUAAUCCCAAGGAUCAAAAAUCUGUGAAGUUCAAUCUGCCUGAGGAUGAAUUUGAUGAUGAAUCUGAUGACUUCGAUGAUGAAUCUGAUGAUUAUGAUGAUGAAUCUGAUGAUGAAUUUGGUGGCCCUCCACCUUCUAAAAUGAUGCCUGCUAUGGGGGGUGGGGGUGGUCAUGGAGCUCAUGGGCUUAAUGCUAUGAUGAUGAAGGGUGGGCCUAUGGGUAAUAAUGGUGGAAAUGGCAAGAAAGGUGGGGUUGAAAUCCCAGUACAAAUG